GCUAAAUACUACUGACUGACCGAUAGUGAACCAGUACCGUGAGGGAAAGGCGAAAAGAACCCCUGUGAGGGGAGUGAAAUAGAACCUGAAACCGUGUACGUACAAGCAGUAGGAGCAGGCUUUGUUCUGUGACUGCGUACCUUUUGUAUAAUGGGUCAGCGACUUAUAUUCAGUGGCAAGGUUAACCAUCUAGGGGAGCCGUAGGGAAACCGAGUCUUAACUGGGCGUUCAGUCUCUGGAUAUAGACCCGA
RNAcentral lists this ribosomal RNA (251 nucleotides) under Vibrio alginolyticus. RNAcentral describes it as "partial 23S ribosomal RNA". It matches the Rfam family "Bacterial large subunit ribosomal RNA", at positions 465 to 718 of the family's 2925-position model. The record is from RNAcentral. Lineage: Bacteria; Pseudomonadati; Pseudomonadota; Gammaproteobacteria; Vibrionales; Vibrionaceae.